CUGACCAGUGGCCACACUGUCGUGGUUCUAUCUCCCCGACCCUCAGCUCCUCCCCUCUUUCCUUCCCUGCUUUCCCCUUCUCCUCCACCAGCCUCCCGGCAGUGUGGGACAAUCCAGCUGAUCCCUGUCCUGUGCUGAGCUGGGCCCAGCCGGAAUUUGCUGUUGAUCCCAGAAGAGGAGCAGCAAGGAGCAGUGGGCUUUCCAUUCAGAUUUUCCCAAGAAGCAGAACUUGAGUCAGGCUUGGAGCAGUGGAGGAAGGGGAAGAACACACUUUCUCUGCUCAGAUGAACUCAGGAAGGUGACUUUGUCCUGCCACCACCAUGUAGCACCCAGAUUGGAAAUUCUUGUGCAGCAAACCUAAGGAGCGCAUUCUUGGCAGCUGACUGAUUGAUACAUCUGGGACAGCCUAAUGAAGAUAUGAUGCGAUUAAAUAUCAUCCCGUUGUCUCUCUACCAACUCACCCCCACUCCAUAUCACGACCAGAGUCUAGAUCAUUUUCCUCUUCUUCAGGACCCUCACCAUUUUUUCUGGAGAAACUGAAUGCUGAUGUUUACCGCUGCACUACUGUAUCAGCUAGAUUGUACUGCAGUGACAAACAACUCCAACAUCUCAAUGGCUUAAAUGACAAAGAGGGAAGCCAGCUGUCAUGCUGUGAGCUGCUCAUGCGACGAGGAACUGAAGCCUCUAGCCAAUAGCCAGUGAGUACUUGAGGUUUACCAACGGUUAUAAGUGAUCUUGAGAUGACUGCGCCCUAGCUGACACCUCGAUUAUAGCCUGUGAGACCCUGAGCUGAGGACUCCCCUACCAGAUUCCUGAUCCACAGAAAUCGUGAUAUAAAAAAUGUUUGUUCUUGUAAACCACUAAGUUUGAGGGUAAUUCUUUAUCAACCACAGAUAACUAUAACAUUCAUUUAUUCAAUAAAUAUCUAAUAGCACUAUAUGAAGCACUUAGGACACAUUAGUGAGCACAAUAGACCUGAUUUCUAUCCUUAUAGAGUUUAAAUUAAUUUAAACAGGCUUCUAAGCUGCAGAAAUAGACAGAGGCUUUAAUAUGCAAAUGUUCAUCAUGAAACUCUAAGAGAGGAAGAAUGGGUCUCUAACUUUUAAACUUUUUUUUCCCCUCUGCAUUUCAUAGGGUUAAUGUUUUAUGGAACACAUACUGGAAAAUUCUCUAUUAGCUAAAUGAGUAAAUGAAUUAAAGUUGUCAUUUUAAAGGCUUAAGCUCCCCUGCAAAAAUUUUAGAGUAUGUCCCACUUUGUUCAUUAUAGGCUUAAUAGCCAUUCUCCUUUUCCUGAACCC
Molecule: long non-coding RNA, 1298 nt
Organism: Pteropus alecto (black flying fox)
Lineage: Eukaryota; Metazoa; Chordata; Mammalia; Chiroptera; Pteropodidae
Exons: 4
Source: RefSeq, a predicted model, not a curated record